CCGAGUCGUCGACACGAGUUGUUGCUGGCCCUCAAACGGGGGCAUGUGCACGCUCUGUUCACACAUCCACUCACACCUGUGCACCCUCUGUAGUUCUAUGGUCUGGGGGACGUGUCGUCCUCCUGCCGUGGUUCUGCGUCUUUACACAUACACCGUAGCGAAGUCUUAUGGAAUGUUUGCCGCGUUUAACGCAAUACAAUA
This 201-nucleotide unclassified non-coding RNA is filed under the name uncultured Thelephora. Its description in RNAcentral is "sequence contains ITS1". Lineage: Eukaryota; Fungi; Basidiomycota; Agaricomycetes; Thelephorales; Thelephoraceae. The record is from RNAcentral.